UGGGGAAUUUUGGACAAUGGGCGCAAGCCUGAUCCAGCCAUGCCGCGUGCGGGAAGAAGGCCUUCGGGUUGUAAACCGCUUUUGUCAGGGAAGAAAUCUUCUGAGUUAAUACCUCGGGAGGAUGACGGUACCUGAAGAAUAAGCACCGGCUAACUACGUGCCAGCAGCCGCGGUAAUACGUAGGGUGCAAGCGUUAAUCGGAAUUACUGGGCGUAAAGCGUGCGCAGGCGGUUUUGUAAGACAGAGGUGAAAUCCCCGGGCUCAACCUGGGAACUGCCUUUGUGACUGCAAGGCUUGAGUGCGGCAGAGGGGGGAUGGAAUUCCGCGUGUAGCAGUGAAAUGCGUAGAUAUGCGGAGGAACACCGAUGGCGAAGGCAAUCCCCUGGGCCUGCACUGACGCUCAUGCACGAAAGCGUGGGGAGCAAACAGGAUUAGAUAGCCCUGGUAGUCCACGCCCUAAACGAUGUCAACUGGUUGUUGGGAAGGUUCCUUCUCAGUAACGUAGCUAACGCAUGAAGUUGACCGCCUGGGGAGUACGGCCGCAAGGUUGAAACUCAAAUGGAA
This 564-nucleotide ribosomal RNA is filed under the name uncultured bacterium. RNAcentral describes it as "partial 16S ribosomal RNA". It matches the Rfam family "Bacterial small subunit ribosomal RNA", at positions 355 to 910 of the family's 1533-position model. The record is from RNAcentral.